CUUUACUUUAAAGUAAUUUGUAUUAUUCAAAUGUUGUAAAGAGCAUAAGCUCAUCUUUACUUUGAAGUACUCCUUUCUUGUAUUAUUUGAUAUGCAUGAAAAUGGAGUAGAGGGUCCAACGCCCCUAAGACAACACGCCUUAAUGUGAUUAAACGCGUAACUAAAAUCAAUUAUCAUCCCUAGACCGAGAUUCAACACUAGGCUCGUGUUGAAUCUAAUCAAAGGUUCAUAGUCAUCCUAAGGCCCUAAGGCAACUAUAUAGUCCAUCAAAUGAAUGCAAAGUUUAUGUUAGUAGUAUCAUAUACUCUUGCUUUAAAAACCGUUUUAUAAGCAUAGUGGGAGUAUUAUAUACAACUAAAAACAAUCAAAUGGACCAAUAGUUGUAAUAGGACCAAAUUGUUUUAAUAAGAUUAAAAAGUAUGUUUAUAUGUGAUGAGACCUAAAACCCUCAACCAAACCAUUAUUAAGUUGAUAAGCGAGAGAUGCUUUGAACAUCUCUUCGUAGGCCUUCCACCAUGGUGGGCUUCAAUCGUUUGUGACUCAUACACCGUAUUCGUCUAGUUCUGGGGUAUGCAAAGUAUGUGCUUACAUUCAGGAGAAGCCUAUAAACAUAUGAUGAAGUGAAGGUAGGCAACGAGUAUGGUCAAUAUGAUAUUCUUCUGAGGCCAUUCCCCUACUUGAACUAGCAUGGUGGGAAUGACUUAACUAAGUGCAAUGAUGCCAAUUUGAUAUUCUUCUGAGGCAUCAUUUUCUAGAGGCCAAAUUAGAUGGGUAAUUACAAAAGUUGUAAAUGGCUAAAGUCCUCUCAUCAUUAUUGUUGCUAGCCAAUAUGAUAUUCUCCUGAGGUGGGCUUGGUAAUAGUGAGUCUCCCAUACCCUACUAAGAGUUUCAUCCAAAACUCUCGAAUUCCAAUGAGGGAUAUGGAAUUUGCCAAAAAUAGUGGGUGGUGCUAUUUGAUUUAAAGACACGGAUCAAAUGGCUUAAAAAUCAAUCAAUUUAUAUUCGUUAUGUAUUUGUUUACCAAUAUAUUUGCAAACGUUAUCCAAAACUUGACAAAGAAAAGCCGAAUGCUUUAGUUUCCGGACUUGGUACCACAAUCCCAAAGAUUGUUUUAAAUGGAUUGUAUAUGUACCUAAGUAGUCUCAUCCACACAAUCUUCCUAUUGAUAAUGUAUCAUUACAAGAAUAUGUUAGAAAAGGUCUAUCAUAAAGAGGACAACACUUUUAAUGUCAUAAUUCUUCAAUUACAAUUUGUUGUAUGAAGAAAUAAGACUUGCUUUGAACAACUCUUAGUUAAAUGCAAACAUUAGUGCUUGUUUCUUUGUUACAUGAACAAGGAACUUUAGAAGUAAGCACAAGGGCAUGGACACUUUAUGUGCCAUGAUUCUUCACUUACAAAUUGUUGUAUGAAGAAAUGAGAGUUGCCUUGAACAACUCUUGAAAGUUUGUAAUUAUGUUUAGAACAUAAUGGUUGUUUGACAAAAAUAGUCCAUCAACAUGGACUUAUGAUGAUUUUGAAUCAUUGAGUGUUGAAGUGAUAAACCACUUAACGAGACGAACUAUAUAGUGAACUAUAACCACACACUCUCCAAAUCGUUUGAUGUGUAUAACAUAAUUGAAACAGGUUUCAAGAGAGAUAGUGGGAGUUUAGGGACCAUGACUAUUGUAGUCAAAAGGAGAAGUCAAAUGAAGAAAGCGAAAUAAACUCCAAGGGAACAAACUUUCUUUAUGAAAUUAUGGACAUUGGAAGGGGUAUUUGCAAGAAAUGUCUUGCAAGUGUCAAGAACACACCUUUCGAAGGUGUUGUAAAUUGUUCUUGAAUAGUUCAAAACAGUUGGUUCUUCUACUUGAAUGCUUGAUUCCGUAUUAGUACCUAUGUUUUACAAUCGUUGUAAAAGUGUGACUAAUAAGAAGUAGAAGAUAUAUGAGAGAAGAAAAAGGUGCUUCACAUUUGGAACGUGAAUAAAAUAAAGAUCUCUGCGAAAGCAGAUAGUACUUACUUCCUCAUAUGAACUACCAAAGAAAUUGGAAAAACCAAAUAUUGUCUUUACAUUCCAAUUUUAAGGAACUUAAUUCCGUCACUAUAAGGGAUGGAUGAAUGUUUUGUUUGACAAAACAUUAUUCUUUAUUAGUCAAUGAUUGGAUUAUAGUAAUCUAAUUGAUUGUCUCUAUAGUAGAGAUGAUAUGGUAGUGUUAACAGUUUAGAAUAUAAUGAUGCUUAAAACCCAAAAAGGUUGCAAGGUAGUGACUAAUCCCAACUAAAGUUGUGAUACCUCUAAAACAUAAAUUACAAGUUGGUCAUAGAUGGAUGCUUUAGAUCGUUAGAUCCGGAUCCAAUAACUUCUUAUUAAAAUUGUAUGGAGGCGAAAUGUUCGAAUCUUUAUUCUUUUGGAAAGAAGAAAGAAU
RNAcentral lists this long non-coding RNA (2405 nucleotides) under Malus domestica (apple). RNAcentral's name for it is "long non-coding RNA (MDOM_LNC017071)". Lineage: Eukaryota; Viridiplantae; Streptophyta; Magnoliopsida; Rosales; Rosaceae. The record is from RNAcentral.